CCCUUAGAUGUUCUGGGCCGCACGCGUGCUACACUGAGUGGAUCAGCGGGUCAGGUUGCGCGAAAGCGUUUCCUAAUCUUUAAAUCCGCUCGUGAUGGGGAUUGACGGUUGCAAUUUUCUGUCAUGAACGAGGAAUACCUUGUAAGCGCGGGUCAUCAUCCCGCGCUGAAUACGUCCCUGCCCUUUGUACACACCGCCCGUCGCUCCUACCGAUUGGUAUAUAAGGUAAAAAUCUCGGAGAAGUUGGGAUUUCAUGCAGGUUUACUUGCAUGUGCCUGGCCUCAAAGUUAUUUAAAUCUUCUGUACUAGAGGAAGGAGAAGUCGUAACA
This 329-nucleotide ribosomal RNA is filed under the name uncultured eukaryote. RNAcentral's name for it is "partial 18S ribosomal RNA". It matches the Rfam family "Eukaryotic small subunit ribosomal RNA", at positions 1470 to 1796 of the family's 1831-position model. The record is from RNAcentral.